AUCGCUGUAGGCUAAUUGGUAAGCCACAAUGGGAUGCAGGUUCGAGUCCUACCGGCGAUA
This 60-nucleotide transfer RNA is filed under the name Lactiplantibacillus plantarum. RNAcentral's name for it is "tRNA-Ser". It matches the Rfam family "tRNA". Rfam says of the family: Transfer RNA (tRNA) molecules are approximately 80 nucleotides in length. The record is from RNAcentral. Lineage: Bacteria; Bacillati; Bacillota; Bacilli; Lactobacillales; Lactobacillaceae.